RNAcentral lists this long non-coding RNA (1857 nucleotides) under Monodelphis domestica (gray short-tailed opossum). Its description in RNAcentral is "lncRNA (ENSMODG00000040677.1)". The record is from RNAcentral. Lineage: Eukaryota; Metazoa; Chordata; Mammalia; Didelphimorphia; Didelphidae.
GAAGGAAGGAAGGAAGGAAGGAAGGAAGGAAGGAAGGAAGAAAGAAAGAAAGAAAGAAAGAAAGAAAGAAAGAAAGAAAGAAAGAAAGAAAGAAAGAAAGAAAGAAAGAAAGAAAGAAAGAAAGAAAGAAAGAAAGAAAGAAAGAAAGAGAAGGAGGAAGGAAGGAAGGAAGAAAGGAGGAAAGAAAGAAAGAAAGAAAGAAAGAAAGAAAGAAAGAAAGAAAGAAAGAAAGAAAGAAAGAAAGAAAGAAAGAAAGAAAGAAAGAAAGAAAGAAAGAAAGAAAGAAAGAAAGAAAGAGAAAAGAGAGAGAAGGAGGGAGGGAGGGAGGAAGGAAGGAAGGAAGGAAGGAAGGAAGGAAGGAAGGAAGGAAGGAAGGAAGGAAGGAAGGAAGGAAGGAAGGAAGGAAGGGAGAGAGGAAGGAAGUGAGGGAGGAAGGAAGUGAGGGAGGAAGGAAGGAAGAGAGAAGCAAACAAGAGAGACAAGGAUUAAGAAAGGACUCCUGCAGAAGAAAACUGUUAAGGACUGCAAUUUUCAACUUGGGCCUGCAAGCUAAAAGCAAGCACUAUCCCUUAGAGUGGCUUUUAUCUUUCUUGGUGAGUACAGAUUUCCUUUUUACUUACCUUUAUUCUGAUUUUAAAAUGUUGCUAUCUAUUAGAGAACUGAACAAUAUAUUUGCUUGUACCAAUAUAAAAUCUGGAUAUUGUUCCUGGGUUACAGAUUACAAGGGCCAAUUAAAUAUAGUGUCCAAGUUCAUUUCCCAAGAAAAAUAAUUUCUUUCCACAUUCCUAAUGGACCAAGUUCAAUUUCUUUGCAAAACAAUCCCAAAGAAUUAUCUCUAAAACUAAUAAUAACAGUAACUAAGGCAAUAACUGCUUACAUUCUGAUAUGCACACCUUCCUUAUAAGUCUCAAAGAAAGGUAAAGUCCUUCUGAUAUUUGACAGAGUGAUAAAUGGUAUAAAGGAAUUGAUUCAGUAACUCGGGCUGAAAGGUAAUGCCUAUUAAGUAACCUACAAGAACAAUACAGAACUAUCCAGGAUGAAAGAUAGAGAAUGCCUUAUUUAUUUCUUAUUUACUUCAUGUGGAAUAUAUCUGUUGUGGGUGUUUUUUGUGAUUUUUAUCAGUCUUCUGUAGUUUAAAGAUGAGAGAUUGUGAGAAAUUGAACAAUGGUUUUUAAAAGUGUGUACUGUUCUACUAUUUGUGAUUGUUUAGUUGUUUAUAUCCAAUUCUUCAUGAUCUCAUUCAGAGUUUUCCUGACAAAGACCUUGGAAUGAUUUACCAUUUUCUUCUCUAGACAAAAGGGAUAAAUGACUUGCCCAGGGUCACACAGUUAGGAAGUAUAUAAGGCCAAAUUUGAAUCCAAGACCUCCCAUCUCUGGGCCUGGCUCUCAAUCCACUGAUCUACCUCAUUGCCUCCAUUGUUAAGUUUUUCUGAAUUACUUUUUUAUUUAUAUUUUUUAAUAUGCUAAUUGUUUGGGGAGUAGAGUCAAGGGAUUCAGAAAUGAAGAUAUGAAAAAAAUCAAUGAAAAAAUUUAAGAGUACUGGGUUUACAGUAAUAUUAUACUAUGAUUAUCUGUGAAAACUUGGCUACUCUUGGCAAUGCAAAGAUCUUGGUCAAUCUUGAAAGAUUAUGAUGGGGAAUGCUAUCCACCUUCAGAGAAAAAAACUGUUGGAGUCAUCUUUCACGUCAGUAUAUUUAUGGUUUUUAUCAGUGUAUUUAUUUUGGGUUUUGAUUAGGUAUCCGUUUCUCUUACAACAGUGACCAAUAAGGAAGAGUGUUUUACAUGACAUUAAAAAUAAUAUUUUUUAAAGAGUACUGGUUUUAGAAAUAAAAGACUUGGAUUCUUCUCUGAAAUACA